AACUUUCUAGGCGCGAUUGUGGCCACAACUUGGACCUUCUAAGAACAGUGCUGCGUCGUGACGCUCUGCUACCAGGCUGAUCCGCUCGGGGUUUGUCCGGAAAUGGCGGACGCAGGGGUCUGUGCCUGGCAAGCUGCAACAAGGAUCAGAACAAAGAUUUGGAGGUGUAAGCAGCAUGCUCACUCCCCUGCACAGCCACAGCAGGAGUCCUCACUGAGAUCAGAUCUCAUUCUCACAAGCUUAGGCUUCCUCAGCAGUGGAAAGGAGCCAAACAGCUGAUCCAAAGCCCACAGAAUAUUUUAGGAAUGUUCCAAAAUGAUCUUAAUUUCUACAGAGAGGAAAAGAUAAUGUGCCACUGGACAAGCAUCAGCUAAGGAGAAAUGAGGGUCCAACGAUGAAGAUCCUAAGAAGAUAAUGUCUUUUCCACAAAUUUGGCUCAUGCAUCCUGCCUACGUAGAUUGUGCGUGUGUGUUAGGCCACAGGUAUUUUGAAAAUCUGGUCUGGAAAACACAUGCCUCUGAAGGGAGAGUGCUUCAUGGUCAUCAGAUGUUAUUAAGAUCAUCACAAUCUAGACAAGUCAAAAUUAAAAACACUGUGUUAAUACAGUGAGGACUUAAGUAUCUGAUUGUAAAAUGGGAAACUGUUCUAAGGAGCACAUACCGAAGAAAAGACUACAUUUUGAAAUGUCUGAGGUAAAUCACUACGACUUAGCAUAUAGGAUUCCUCAUAAUAAUUGUAGUUUCCCAGAACCGACUCAGUCUGAGCUAGCAUUAUUCUAAUCAAUGUUGGAAGUUAUUAGAAUGAUAUUGAAUAAUAAUUAGUGCUCAAGGAAUUCCUGUGCCUUCAAGCUUUUUGUCAUUCCUUAUUAGAUUAGAAAACACUCUUGCUCAAAUCCGGAGUGUGAGAAACAUAAGGAACUUACUAAUUAGAAAAUGACAUGUGUUUUAGGCAUCAUAUUUGUGUGAAGUUUCAAGGUUCUUGGUGGUUACUCUUAUCAUAGGCUUCAGCUACCCUUCUUAUGGUUAUUAUUUUUAUUUAAAGACCAUAAGAGCAGCAAGGGAAAUCCAUGUGCUUUCAGACUGUGGCAACAUCUAGUUCUAACUUGUGCCAUCUCUCUGAUGACCUACUCUCAUAUUUAAGCAGCGAUCUGAUAUACCCAAACAGACAGCUACUGAAGUUGCAGAAUAAAUAAAUAUAUAAAUAAAAGUUAACAUUCUUGUUCAGUGCAGUAGGCUUCCUUAGCAAUGCAGAGGCAUACAUUGGCUUUUCAGUGGGAUUUGUCACGUCUUGCAUAUUUGUGCUUUCAAGGAUACAUGAAGGAGUGAUAAAAAAUCCCAUCCUUCCUCUUGGCCUUCAGUGUAAAAACCUCCCUGUAGGGAGAUUUGUUGAUUUCUUUUUCAUAAGUUUAUUCAUUGUAAAUUCAUAUGGAUGUUCUUGCUUUGUAGAAAGAGCUUUGCUGUAUGGUAAUUUUAUAUUGCAUGUAUUUGUUUUGGAAGUGACUUUGCACAACCAGUCAUUAGAUUUUCCAGGUUUAUAUUCAUUUCUGUUCUUGUAGGAUGUUGCCCAAUACCUAAGCAUCACUAAAGCUGUGUGUUAAAUCAUACUUUUAUUUGCCACAGGCCUGAUUCAAUAUCUCUGUAUGCUGUAUUGACUCACUGCAGGAUGUUUGGAAGAAAAGACUUACACUAUAGUGCUUCACAGUAACAAAUAGUUCAAAAAGCUUUACAUGAACUUGAUAGUAUCCAAGAUUUGUGACAAUUUUUUCUAUAAAACAUCAGAUACUAUGCAUAUAUCAAUCCAACCUGAGUGACUGGGAAAAGGCAAAUUUCUCUAUUAUCACAGUUGCCCCUAAAUAAACUCAAACUGCU
Gallus gallus (chicken) is the source of this 1868-nucleotide long non-coding RNA. The record is from Ensembl. Lineage: Eukaryota; Metazoa; Chordata; Aves; Galliformes; Phasianidae.